ACGGGCAAAAAUAGCAGAUUACAUUAAGUUUUCGUUUCAAACAAGUGACUGAUUUCAGAAAGUGAAGUUUAAUCUGCAUUCGAUCAACAUUUCGGGCUGCCCAUGUGCGGAGAAGUGUGUGAAAACUUGAUUUUUUCAAUGCCCUUUGAGAAGAAGUGUAGUGCAGUGAUAAACCCACACAGAAAAAAUAAAAUUGUUUUGCUAAAUAUGUAGUACUUUACAAUUGAAAAGUGCUCUAUUUUGAUCAAAUUAAGAGUAAAAUUGUUCAUCAUAAAAGUUAGUUUAUCAUUCGUAAAGUUUGUUUUGUCAGUUCUGUUUGUAUAUUUGAAAGUUCAUACUUUUACUAAUAAAACUGUAGAACUGUCAAAUUUCACACGAAAAUUCAUCAAAAGGUAUAACAGAUCGGGACACCUCAAGAAAAAAUAAACGCAUAUCUUUUCAAAUUAACAUAUUUUCAGUUUUGAUACAUUUUAUAUCACAAGGUAAAAACACUUUGAAAUGUAUCAAAAUGUGUUCUAAUAAUUAUUGAGCUAUUGUUUAGCUCUAAACCUGCAUGAAGGCAUUCGAAAUUAGCAACAUACUUUUUAAUAGUAACAUGCAAUUCCAGUUAUGCCAAAUAAUCCGAAAUAAUUUCUCAGGGUGUAUUUAUCCGCAGUCAGUUAAGUUUAGUCUUCACACUUCGCGCUCCCGUUUUUUAAGUUGUUUUAGCCGUCGCGAAUCGCAUUUAUUUGCGAAACACAAAUUUAAAACCCUCAACAUCUCGAGCUAAAAUUUCCAUUGAUAGAAUGGAAACUAUACAGCAGGUUUGUCCAGUUAAAAUUUGAUUUAUUUCAGUUUUGUGAUGAGAAUCAACUUUUUUCACAGUACCACUACCGGUGAAAGCUUCAUUUAGGACAAGGCGGUUACCCAUAAAGAGCAGAACACCACCCUUUGUUGUUUUCAUAUACCAGAACCACCAAACAGUUUUCGAAAACGAGAAUAAAUCGGUCGAAGAAUGAUUGACCGCCACAGUAAUCAACAACCAGUGUUCAUAAGAGUGAAUGCAUCAAAACCAGCUUACAGAGGUCCAGAAGUGCAUCUAAGCUUUCAUGGCCAGAAUAUGGCCGAUCGCGACACCGCGACACGAGCCGUCGCAAAUCUAUGUUGGCCUUCGGGCCCAAAGAGAACUGUUUCAAAGAUGUCAAACACGGAGAAACUGGAUACCUCUCGGACUUGAAAGAUAAGUUGUUUUUUCUGACCUUGUCGGGGCAUGGCUAUGUUCACCGAUACCUGCAAGGCGUCCCCGAGAAGCCUUGAGGAAGCUGCUACGUAUUGUAAAAAGGUUAAUAUUUAAAUAAAUGAAAUGAAAAGUAAAAAACAUAUGAAAUUUAAUGGAGUAGAUUGAAAAGAAAGGGUGAAGUAUGGGUUCCGUCUUUUUGAGUAAAUCAAGGAGUAAAUACAAGAUAAUUUUUCAAUUAAAAAUAUCGCACUCUAUUUUAUGAACGGUGUGAUCAUUUUGAUUUGACAGUUCUACAAUUUUGUUUUGAAUGUUUGAACUUUGAAGAUUUGAACCGUAGCUCUUGCAAAAGUUGCCAUACUUUUAUUUUGAACAUAGACAACUCUCUACGAAAAAGAACCAACGCAACUUUUUAUUUUUACCCAUGGUUUUUUUUUAAUUCUAAUAACGAUUUUUCUUUCUAUGUGGGAGAGGAGUGCGGGAGGUGUGUACAAACACUACUCAAGUGAAGUUCCAUGUCAUUCGAUAAAACAAUGAAUUACUGUCACAUUGUACCUCAACAUGUUUUUAACACGUGGUCAGUAUCUCUGUAUCAUCGAUGGAAUCUUCUUUAAAUCCCUCUCGUGAAUUAUAUCGAAUCUAUAACUCACUAUACUACCGUGAAUCGCAUAUCUGUCCCAACUUUGCUGGGUUUCCUAUGCAUAUGGGACAAAUAUGCGAUUCACGGCAGUAUAACCUAUUUGUAACUGUGUAUUAAAACAGGCAUCAGUUCUUCUUGAUUAUAUCGAAGUAGUCCGUUAUGUUCUAGAAUAAGAGUUUUCAUUCGUGUCAAAUCUAUCAAACCAUUCAGACGCACUGAAGAAAAUCUAAAUUCAAAUAAUGAGCGUCGCAGAGAUCCAACCUAUUUCAACGGUUCCAGAUAUCGAGCCAGUCGUCGACCCCAACCAGGAAGUAAUAACAUCAGCGGAGCAGACAUCUCCGGAUAUCGAACAGUCGAAUAUCCCGGAUACCCAGGGACACACUGAACAAAGCAAUGCAGCCUCAGAGGAAUCGCAGCCCGAUGUAGAACAUUUGGUGGACCCUAAUCAAGCAGUCGUUCUGAUACCACCAACUCCGGAAGAAACAGACCCACAGCAGGAUCGUAGAAGUUACCAUCAGCCACCGGCUGAAGAUGGCAUCCAUCGAAGGGCUAGACGACGUCUUCGUAGAAGUCGAUCACGAUCUCUUUUCCGUUCUCGUUCCCGCCGAUCUCUGUCUCGACGCCGGAGGUGAUAUAAAUGGUUACAGAAAUUUCAUUCAAAAUUGUAUUCAAAUUAGUUAAUUUCAUAAAUAAACGCUUUAUAUUUUGAUAUAUAA
Armigeres subalbatus is the source of this 2572-nucleotide long non-coding RNA. RefSeq lists it as uncharacterized. The transcript has 2 exons. Lineage: Eukaryota; Metazoa; Arthropoda; Insecta; Diptera; Culicidae. The record is from RefSeq and is a predicted model, not a curated record.